GUGCUUGCUUCGGCGGCACCUAUACUAAAAUUGGAACGAUACAGAGAAGAUUAGCAUGGCCCCUGCACAAGGAUGACACACAAAUUCGUGAAGCGUUCCAUAUUUAA
This 107-nucleotide small nuclear RNA is filed under the name Echinops telfairi (small Madagascar hedgehog). The record is from RNAcentral. Lineage: Eukaryota; Metazoa; Chordata; Mammalia; Afrosoricida; Tenrecidae.